CGCAGGAUCAUUUGCAGAAAUGAAACGCUUAAAUUUACUCCAAAUCAAUGGAGUACAUCUCACCGGAUCCUUCAAACUGCUUUCUAAAGAGUUGAUGUGGAUUUGUUGGCAUAGAUGUCCUUUGAAAGAUUUUCCAUCUGAUUUUACCGCAGACUAUCUAGCUGUUCUUGAUAUGCAGUACAGUAACCUCAAAGAACUAUGGAAGGGAAAAAAGGUGCGAAACAUGCUACAAUCCCCGAAAUUUCUCCUGUAUGUAAUUUAUAUUGACAUCUUAUGACUUUCUAUGAUUAAUUUUCAUUAUUUUACCCUCUAUUAUGACAGAUCCUCAACAGGCUAAAAAUCUUUAAUCUUAGUCAUUCUCGGAACCUUGUUAAAACACCAAACUUGCACAGUUCAAGUCUAGAGAAACUAAUUCUGAAAGGUUGCUCAAGUUUAGUUGAGGUGCAUCAAUCAAUUGGACAUUCGACGAGCCUCGUUUUCUUGAAUCUCAAGGGAUGUUGGAGUCUGAAGACUCUCCCUGAAAGCAUUAGGAAUGUAAAGUCUCUUGAAACUAUGAAAAUUUAUGGGUGUUCACAACUUGAGAAAUUGCCAGAAGGCAUGGGUGAUAUGAAAUUCUUAACUGAGCUAUUAGCUGAUGGGAUUAAAACUGAGCAAUUUCUCUCUUCAAUUGGGCAAUUAAAGUAUGUCAAAAGGUUAUCAUUACGUGGAUGCAGUCCGACUCCACCAAGUUGUUCUUUGAUUUCAGCAGGUGUUUCAAUUUUGAAAUGUUGGCUGCCAACAUCAUUCACUGAAUGGAGAUUAGUGAAACAUCUUAUGCUUUCUAAUUGUGGUUUGUCUGAUCGUGCAACUAACUGUGUUGAUUUUAGUGGUUUGUUCUCUCUAGAAAAAUUGGAUCUAAGUGAAAACAAAUUCUCUAGCCUGCCUUAUGGGAUCGGCUUCCUUCCCAAGCUAUCGCACUUGGUUGUUCAGACAUGUGAAUAUCUUGUAUCAAUCCCAGAUCUUCCCUCAAGUUUAUGCCUUUUGGAUGCAUCUUCUUGCAAAUCAUUGGAAAGAGUAAGAAUACCAAUCGAGUCAAAAAAAGAACUAUGUGUAAAUAUAUUUCAAAGUCUUUCGUUAGAAGAGAUUCAGGGCAUCGAAGGUCUAAAUAAUAGUUUCUGGAAUGUUAGUAUUGAAAGACGCAGUCAUUCACCAAAUAAAUUACAGAAGAGCGUUCUAGAGGUACUAUUUCUUUCAAUCUCUCUUGCAUAAGAAGAAACACACACAAUUGGCACAUAUUGAUUAAUGUCUAAAAUCGCAGCAUUCCUUGAAAUUAAUAUGUAUACAGGCAGUUAUUAUUAUUAUUAUUAUUAUUAUAUUUUAAAAAAUAAAUAUCAUCUUUAAUAAUAUUUUCUUAUUUUUCUUAUUUAAUCUAAAAAAUUAAAUAUUAUCUUUAAUAAUAUUUUUUAUUAAAUAUUUAAGUCUUUGGUUUUCUUUUUUAUUUCUUGAUUUUAUGAUAAUAUAUUUAUACAGGCAAUGUGCAACCGUGGUCACGGGUAUCGUAUUAACUUCAGUCUAGAACAUGAUGAACUACAUGAGAUGCCAGAUUGGAUGAGCUACAGGGGAGAAGGAUGCUCAUUGUCAUUCCAUAUACCUCCAGUCUUCCAUGGCUUAGUUCUUUGGUUAGAGAAGGGUACUCAUAUGUACACAUACACUAACAUUAUUAUUAUUAUAAGAAAUAAAAGCAACGGAAGAAUAUUGUUUAAAGAUAAACGAGCACAGAUAGGAAUACAUAUAUUUAUGCAGGGAUGGUUAAGAUACAUAAGUAGAAGUGAAAUGGCAAUGGAAGAUUACUGUGGAGACGAAUUGGAACUAUACAUUUCUUCAGAGCCAACAGACUAUGCACUGCGCAAGGGUAAAUCAUUGAAACCAAGCGUUAAAGAAUGUGGGGUCCAUGUGAUCGCAGGGAAGUCAGAUUCAUUAAAAAAGUCGGCAGUGGAAAGAGAUACAGUGAUGCUUUCACCACCGCUGUAUCAUCUGCUUCCUCAUCCUCAUCGUGGUUCAAUUACAACGUCUACACCUAAGCAAUGGUGUGACUUUUUACUUGCGGAGCUGCAAAACCAUAGCCUCGGUUUAUUGCUUCUUGGUAAGAACAAAUAUUUCCUUUAGUUAUUUUUAUUCUAUUCUAUUUAAUUUAUGAGAUUAAAUAUUAUCUUUAAUUAUUUCAUUAUUACUAUUUAAUAUAAAAAAUUAAAUAUCAUUUUUAAUAAUAAAAAAUUAAAUAUUUAAGGCUUUUUGGUAAGAAUACAUAUUUCCUUUAGUUAUUUCUAUUUUAUUCUAUUUGAUGGGAAUUUGUUCGUAAUAACAAAAUGCACAUGUUUAACUUUCUUUUCAAACUUGGAAGUUUUAUUGAAUUUGAUGGCUUUUGAAGGUAGAGAAGACUUGGAGUGAAGAGUACAAGAUCAUUUUAUAUAGAGAUGCUUGAAGUUACUUCAAAUUAGUACGGUACUUCUAUCUGAUGUAUUGAUAUGUAUUUGUUUGUUUGAAGAUUAUUUUCCAAGCUUGGAAGUUUUAUUGAAUACUCUUUGAAAUCUUUUCCAUCCGCUUUUAUAUUUUUAUAUUGGACAACCUAGUUGUUAAUUAUUAUCCAUGAUGUAAUUUAUAUUUUCAAGUUAUAAAUUUUGAUGAAUAUUGUUUCAUUUUUUUCCUCAUUUCAAAAGUUGAAAAUCCUUAUUUUAGUUAGAAAUAAAUUGGUUUUCUAGGAAGAGAUUAUUGAUUGGAAACAAGAGCAAAAGAAAAAAGCAAACACCCCAUUCGAUUUUCAUUCAGUAUAAGAGUGAGAAAGAGAGACGCCAAGGUGGUUCUCGAAUAUUUUGUUCUUUUUUGUCUCGCUCACUGGGGUAAAUACUUCAUCAUUUAAUGUUAUAAUUUAAAAUAAUUGAUGAAAAAGAAUUUUAUUCAAUCCCAAUCCCAAUCCCACAUUGUCUGUAGAAGUAUUUACUUUUGACUGUACACUUUGUUAUUUUCCAAUCCCUCCCCAGUUCUGCAACCAUUUCUCUACUUUCUAUGCUCUUGGCUUGCUAAAAACUAAAGAAAACACAUUGCUCUAGUUGCCUGCCUUCACUCUUCAGAUUGCUCAACAAAUCCCUUGAGACCUUCUCCAUAGUUAACACAUCACAUAAUGGCUACUCUAAAAAAUUUAGCCAUAAACAUUGAACACCUUAAGCAAUCAACGUGCCUUCCUUCACAAUAUGCAUCACCCAUAAAUCUUUCUUUUGGGAUGUCGCCGGGAGUUUAAAUUUCCGAGUGUAAAAAUUACUCAAUGAAAAAGCGAGCACUAACGCACCUUCUCCACAAACUACCAUAAAUAUAUAAAUAUAUUAUGAAAACAAGAUAAAAAGAAAUCUUUCGGUACAUCUAUAUAUAUAUAUUAUGGCUAUGAAAAUAGGUUUGUGGAAAUUUACAUCAUUUGAUCUUGACAGUGUCAGAUUAGACAAUUGCAUGGAAAUGGUCUUCUUAGUUUGCCGUGUGGAAAAUCAUGUCAUUUACGGGGCUGCUGGAGAGAGUGUCUAUUGAUAAUUUUAUCUUAUUUGCAUUGACCGGUAAUUUCACUCGAAAAUUUCUAGUAAUUUAAAAGCAAAUUUCUACUGACUAUUAUUGACUGGCUUCUUGCAAAGUAUUUGUAAGAAAGCUAAAGAAUUAAAGUUUUUUAAUUUUUAAAAUUGUAAGAAAAAAAUCAAUUAUUUUUAAAAUUGUUUUCAAAAAUAAAACACCAACUAUUUAUAUAAUAGCUAAAUCUAUUAAGAUAAAUCCAAAAUAACUAGUAAAAUCAGUGACUUGCAUUGACGGUGUAAUGAUCUGGAACCACUCGCAAUAAAUAAAGCCAAAAAAGGCAGACGAGUGUGUCUAUAUAUACAUAUAGGAACCGCUGAUUCGAUUUGAAUAUGUUAUUUGAUUAGUCUAAUUCAUGACUUGCAUUGACUCAAGAUUACCACUCAAGAUUUCGUGGUGCUUUCUCGGCCUGCAAAUGAAUAGAAAGCAUGUCGUUUUAACCUCAUUUCAAUAUCCUUGCUUUACUCUCCAGCUAGCCUGAUACAUAUGAGUCUCAAGACAUACGGCCAUUGAUAGAAAGGAGUGCUGAAGCAAAAUAUUUUUUUAUCUGUAGCGACCUCAAUAAUGUUAAAGCGUGGACCACCAUGAAAUUACCGCUCCAAAUUCCUUGUUCUUUCUAUAUUAUUAGAAAAAUUAUCAUUGACUAAUUUAAUUGGAAAUUAUUUGCGAGAAAGCUAAAAAGAAUUAAAGUUUUUUAAUUUAUAAAAUUAUAAUUUUAAAUUGUAAAAAAAUUCAAUUAUUUUAAAAAAUAAAACAUCAACUAUUUAUAUAAUAGCUAAAUAAAUCUAUUAAAAUAAAUUGAGAAUAACUAGUAAAAUCAAGCAAAUAAUCCAAAAAUAACAAGAAAAUAAAUAUAUUUCCUAGAUCUAAUUUGAUUAUAUUUAUUAUCUUGAUUGACUUACUUGUUAAGUCUUCGCUAAGCAUAAAUGAACUUUAAUCUAAGAAUCUGUUUUAUAUUUCUUCAUUUAUUAAUGAAAUAUUACUUCUACUGUAUAGUUUUUGGUUCCGAGUUGAUCCACCAGAUUAAUAGGUGAACAAUAUAUUUUGUCUCCACAGGUUAUAACAUCAUUUCAAUAUCUUUAAACAAAAUCUUUGUUAAACUGCACCAUUGGUAAUUGAUUAUGCCUUAAUUUCUGCAGCUGCCAGGACAGAGCCAGAGUCUUCUCGAUCUAGACCAGAAGGGGCCUAUGAUGUCUUCUUGAGUUUUAGAGGAGAAGACACUCGCAAGACAUUUACAGAUCAUCUCUACACUGCCUUAGUCCAAGCAGGAAUCCACACUUUUCGAGAUGAUGAUGAACUUCCGAGAGGAGAAGAAAUCUCCGAUCAUCUCCUCAGGGCAAUUCAAGAAUCAAAGAUAUCCAUAGUUGUCUUCUCAAAGGAUAUGCUUCUUCUAGAUGGUGUCUCAAUGAACUUGUAGAGAUUCUUAAGUGCGAAAAUAGGAAAACCGGUCAGAUUGUUCUUCCUAUAUUCUAUGACAUUGAUCCUUCAUAUGUCAGAAAACAGAAUGGCAGUUUUGCAGAAGCAUUUGUUAACCAUGAAGAGCGUUUUGAAGAGAAGUUGGUGAAGGAGUGGAGAAAAGCUCUUGAGGAGGCUGGAAAUCUAUCUGGAUGGAAUCUCAAUGAUAUGGCAAAUGGGUAUGCCUUUUCUCUCUAAAAUUCACUUGCAGACGUUUAUGGAGUAAUUCUACAUUACAUUUUUCAAUGUGAAGUAAUAAAAUAUUUCUUUUUAGCAUACUUAAUUGACUUGCUAUCGAUGACUUGCUUUUUUUCUGUGAGCAGGCAUGAAGCAAAAUUUAUCAAAGGGAUUAUCAAUGAUGUGUUGAAUAAAUUACGUCGCGAGUGCUUAUAUGUUCCUGAGCAUCUGGUAGGUAUGGAUCUUGCUCACGAUAUUUAUGACUUUCUAAGUACUGCAACAGAUGAUGUACGCAUUGUGGGCAUACAUGGGAUGCCAGGAAUAGGAAAGACGACUCUAGCAAAAGUUGUAUUUAAUCAACUCUGCUAUAGAUUCGAGGGAAGCUGCUUUCUUUCGAAUAUCAAUGAAAGUUCAAAACAAGUUAAUGGUCUUGUUCCUUUACAAAAGCAACUUCUUCAUGAUAUUUCAAAACAAGAUGUUGCUAACAUCAAUUGUGUCGAUAGAGGAAAGGUUAUGAUCAAAGAUCGACUUUGUCGCAAAAGAGUUCUUGUUGUUGCUGAUGAUGUGGCUCAUCUGGAACAGCAGAAUGCAUUGAUGGGAGAGCGAAGUUGGUUUGGUCCCGGAAGUAGAGUAAUCAUUACAACAAGAGAUUCAAAUCUUCUUCGUGAAGCAGAUCGAACAUAUCAGAUCGAAGAAUUGAAACCACAUGAGUCCCUUCAGCUUUUCAGCAGGCAUGCCUUUAAGGACUCCAAGCCAGCACAAGAUUAUAUUGAGCUUUCGAAGAAAGCCGCUGGUUACUGUGGAGGACUUCCUUCAGCUCUUGAGGUUACAGGAGCUCUUCUGUACAGGAAAAACAGAGGUAGAUGGGAAAGUGAAAUGGACAACUUGAGCAGAAUUCCAAACCAAGAUAUUCAAGGAAAGCUUCUAAUAAGUUAUCACGCACUUGAUGGUGAACUACAAAGGGCAUUCCUUGAUAUUGCAUGCUUCUUUAUUGGUAUAGAGAAAGAAUACGUCGCAAAAGUGCUAGGAGCCCGUUGCCGUCCCAAUCCAGAAGUUGUUUUGGAAACUCUCAGUGAAAGGUCUCUGAUUAAAAUAUUGGGAGAGACGGUAACCAUGCAUGAUCUAUUACGAGAGAUGGGAAGGGAGGUCGUUUGUAAAGCGUCCCCAAAAGAACCUGGAAAGAGGACCAGAAUUUGGAAUCAAAAGGAUGCAUGGAAUGUACUUCAACAGCAGAAGGUACGAGCUCAAUGCAUACAUGAAAGCGUAGUCAUGUGUAUUUUCUCAAUGCAAACAUGAAAGCAUAGUCAUGCGUAUUUUCUUGUCAAACUUAUUACAAAUAAUUGAAUGAAAGUUGUAUUGAUUUUUUUUUUAGGGUACGGAUGUUGUAGAGGGUCUUGCACUGGAUGUCAGAGCAUCAGAAGCUAAAUCACUUAGCGCAGGAUCAUUAGAAAAAAUGAAAUGCUUAAAUUUACUCCAAAUCAACGGAGCACAUCUCACCGGAUCCUUCAAACUGCUUUCUAAAGAGUUGAUGUGGAUUUGUUGGCAUGAAUGUCCUUUGAAAUAUUUUCCAUCUGAUUUUACCUUGGACAAUCUAGCUGUUCUUGAUAUGCAGUACAGUAACCUCAAAGAACUAUGGAAGGGAAAAAAGGUGCGAAACAUGCUGGAAUCCCCAAAAUUUCUCCAGCAUGUAAUUUAUAUUUACAUGUUAUGACUUUCUAUGAUUAAUUGUCAUUAUUUUACUCUCUCUUAUGACAGAUUCUCGACAAGCUAAAAAUCCUUAAUCUCAGUUAUUCUCAUCACCUUAUUAAAUCACCAAAGUUGCACAGUUCAAUUCUAGAGAAACUAAUUCUGAAAGGUUGCUCAAGUUUAGUUGAGGUGCAUCAAUCAAUUGGACAUUCGACGAGCCUCGUUUUCUUGAAUCUCGAGGGAUGUUGGAGUCUGAAGACUCUCCCUGAAAGCAUUGGUAAUGUAAAGUCUCUUGAAACUAUGAAUAUUUGUGGGUGUUCACAACUUGAGAAAUUGCCAGAAGGCAUGGGUGAUAUGAAAUUCUUAACUGAGCUGCUAGCCGAUGAGAUUAAAACUGAGCAAUUUCUCUCUUCAAUUGGGCAAUUAAAGUAUAUCAAAAGGUUAUCAUUGCGUGUUUCAAAUUUGAAAUGUUGGCUGCCAACAUCUUUCACUGAAUGGAGAUUAGUGAAAUAUCUUAAGCUUUACUGUGUUGAUUUUAGAGGUAUGUUCUCUCUAAAAGUAUUGGAUCUAAGAGGAAACAAAUUCUCUAGCCUGCCUUCUGGGAUCGGCUUCCUUCCCAAGCUAUCGUACUUGGUUGUUAAGACAUGUGAAUAUCUUGUAUCAAUCCUAGAUCUUCCCUCAAGUUUAUGCCUUUUGGAUGCAUCUUAUUGCAAAUCAUUGGAAAGAGUAAGAAUACCAAUCGAGGCAAAAAAAGAACUAUGUGUAAAUAUAUAUAUGAAAGUCUUUCGGUAGAAGAGAUUCAGGGCAUCGAAGGUUUAAAUAAUAGUUUCUGGUAUGUUAGUGUUACAUCACCAAAUAAAUUACAGAAGAGCAGUCAUUCACCAAAUAAAUCACAGAAGAGCGUUGUUGAGGUACUAUUUCUUUUAGUCUCUCUUGCACAAGAAGAAACACACACAAUUGGCACAUACAUUGAUUAAUGUCUAAAAUCGCAGCAUUCCUUGAAAUUAAUAUGUAUACAUACAAUUAUUAUUUUAAUUUAAAAAAUAAAUAUCAUCUUUAAUAAUAUUUUCUUAUUUUUCUUAUUUAAUCUAAAAAAUUAAAUAUUAUCUUUAAUAAUAUUUUUUAUAAAAUAUUUAAAGUCUUUGGUUUUCUUUUUUAUUUCUUGAUUUUAUGAUAAUAUAUUUAUACAGGCAAUGUGCAACCGUGGUCACGGGUAUCGUAUUAGCUUCAUUGUUGAUGAUCUACUUGAGAUGCCAGAUUGGAUGAGCUACAGGGCAGAAGGAUGCGCAUUGUCAUUCCAUAUACCUCCAGUCUUCCAUGGCUUAGUUCUUUUGUUUGAGAAGAGUACUCAUCUUUACACAGUCACUAACAUUAUUAUUAUUAUAAGAAAUAAAAGCAACGGAAGAAUAUUGUUUAAAGAUAAACGAGCACAGAUAGGAAUACAUAUAUUUAUGCAGGGAUGGUUAAGAUACAUAAGUAGAAGUGAAAUGGCAAUGGAAGAUUACUGUGGAGAUGACGAAUUGGAACUAUACAUAUAUUCACAGCAAUCAGAGUAUGCAACGGUCAUUCAUUCGAACCCGUACACGUUAAAGAAUGUGGGGUCCAUGUGAUCGCAGAGAAGUUAGAUUCAUUUGAAGAGUCGGCAGUGGGAAGAGAUACAGUGAUGCCUUCACCACCGCUGUAUCAUCUGCUUCCUCAUCCUCAUCGUGGUUCAAUUACAACGUCUACACCUAAGCAAUGGUGUGACUUUUUACUUGCGGAGCUGCAAAACCAUAACCUCAGUUUAUUGCUUCUUGGUAAGAACAAAUAUUUCCUUUAGUUAUUUUUAUUCUAUUCUAUUUAAUUUAUGAGAUUAAAUAUUAUCUUUAAUUAUUUCAUUAUUACUAUUUAAUAUAAAAAAUUAAAUAUCAUUUUUAAUAAUAAAAAAUUAAAUAUUUAAGGCUUUUUGGUAAGAAUACAUAUUUCCUUUAGUUAUUUCUAUUUUAUUCUAUUUAAUUUAAGAGAUUAAAUAUCAUCUUUAAUUAUUACAUUUUUCUUAUUUUUUAUUUUUUGAUUUUAUGAUAAUAUUUUUCUUGAUUAAUAUAAAAAAUAAAUAUUAUCUUUAAUAAUUAGAUCUAUCGAAUAUCACUCAAAAAAAUAAAUUAUAUCUUUAAUAAUUAUUUUUUGAAAAACAAAAAGCCAACAAUCACUAACAUAUUUUAUUAAAAUCACUUUAGUUUAUUUAGGAAAUAUUGAAAACUGAUUUUUGUUUUUUUACAUUUAAAUAAAAAAUUGAAUAAUGUUUUUAUAUUUUAUUUCAAAUUAAAUAUUUUAAAACAAAAAUAAAAACAAAAUGAUAUUAACCUUUUUUAUUAUAAAGUAAGUUUCUUAAUUAAAAGUGAAGGGGAUUUGUUUGUAAUAACAAAAUGCAUAUAUAAUCAUGCACGGUUAACUUUAUUUCCAAACUUGAAAGUUCUACUGAAUUUGAUGGUUUUAUAGGUAAGAAGGAGCUGGAUGGAUGAGUUAUUUUACAUAGAGAUGCUUGAAGUUACUUCAAAUUAGUACGGUAUUUCUAUCUGAUGUAUUGAUAUGUAUUUGUUGGCUUGAAGAUCAUUUUCCAAGUUUGGAAGUUUUAUUGAAUGCUCUUUGAAAUCUUUUCCAUUCGCUUUUAUAAUUGUGUAGGUUUCAAUUAAAAGGGAUUGAAUUAAGGAAGUAUGUUAAAAAAUAAUAUAAAUUAUAUUUUAAAAUUUAUUUUAAUAGUUUAAAUUUUUAGAUGGAUAGUUUUUUUGACAGGUAAAAGAUAUAGUUUUACAAUAAAAUAUAUUUUUUGAAAUGAAAUUAUAUUAAAUUAAGCAUGCUCGAGAUUGUUCAAAUUAUUAAUUAAUUAUAAUUAACUUUAUGUCUUUAGAGGAAACAGAAGGGAAGGACAAGAUUAUCUUCCCCACACCAAUAGACCUAGCCCACUUUCCAAACCAGUCCCCUGGUAAAUAGAAUGAUGGUCCCAUAUUUUUCUUUCCAGCCCGUCAAGCAGUUUUAUCUCCCUCACUGGACCACUUUAGAAUGGGAAUCACACUAGGAAAUUUAAAAGUAGUUUGAAGUAUCAUUAAACCUGAUAAAAAUAAACAACCAAUAAUAAUAUGGUUGGGAUUUAAAAAAAAAUUGAUAAAAAAACUAAAAUAAAACAAAUUAAAAUAAACAAAAAACUUGAAAAAAAUUAAUUCAACCCUUUCUUCGUAAAAAAGAGAAGUAAUUGGGUAUUAAUUUACGGUCAAAAGAGUACAAUAAUGCAAAGAAAAAAAAGAGUAUGAGGGUAUUGAUUUUAUUAUUUGUUAGGUAACUAUGGAAUCUAAUCUGUUGAUGUGGAAAAUAGCACAAAUUAAGUUUUUGGCAUGGCCAUUGGUGAGAAGCAAAAGCAGUAGCAGUCCAUCAGGACCAUCACCAUCCUAUCGCCGACAUUCCAAGUGUGAAAGUGUAUUAUUGUCAUAAAGUUUUUCAAACGAAACAAUACGAUAAAUUUAAACUAUAGAGAGAUAAUUAAAUAAAUAAGUAGAAAGCGCAAAAGAAACAAUACGAUAAAUUUAAACUAUACUAAAGGUCAGUUUUUCACUCUGUGUGAAUCUACCGUGAAAGCUUGAUUUUGCACAUGGUAGAUAAAUUUAGGUUUAGGAGUAUAAUUUUUUAUAUAUAAUUACACUAAAGAAGAAUAUUAAUCAAAUAACCCUUAAAAAAAUUCCUUUUAGUUUAGGGUUUAUUUUUUUUCAUCUCAAUUACUUAAAUAUCCCUAAAAAAUAAACUCUCUUUACUAUGGAUGCAAGGUUAUUUUAGAUUUUCUGCUAUUUUUUUUUUAAAAAAUUCUCAUGUAAGAUUAGAGGUGAUUUGGUAUUUUAAUAUAUAAAUUAAUAUUAAAAUUCAAAAGCAGUUGGUGUCUCCCACACCUUUUGGAUGGCGCCUACGACUUCCACACAAAACCGAAUGUUACCGUCUAAGGCAGCGUUUGAUGCGUUUCACCACCGUUGUCACGGUGGUGGCACACGUGUUCUCUGAUGGCAUGUAGAGGAGCACGCGGAGGAGCUCCUUUCUCUUUUUCCUCUCUCGACCUAGAAAAUCAUGUUGACCAUUGAAAAAAAAAAAAACAAAGAAAGUCUAACUAUUUAUUUGUUAAGUUAAAUUAGGUCCUUAUUCUUUUGAUAACAAUGCAUUUGGUCUUGAGCUAUUUAUUAAGUUAGUUGUUUUUUCAUUUUCAUUAAUUUACACUUUGUUUUUAUAUUAGAUUUAAUCCUUAUUCUUUUAACUGUGAUGUUUUUUGUUGUCUUAAUUCCUUUAUUGAAUUAAAUUGUCUUUGAAUUUUAUCUCUUGAUAUUUUAUUUUUAUAUCAAAUAUGAUCCUUAUUUUUUUAUUGUUAUUUUUAGUUAUUUUUAUUAUUUUCUUAAUUGAAAUUGUUUUUUAAUUUCAUCCCUUAUGAUUUGGUUUUAUUUACUUUAUGUAUCAAAUUUGGUUCUCUUUCUUUUCAAAUCUACAUCUUUAAAAAUAAAAUUUAAUUUUUUUCAAGUUUAUCCCUAAUUAUUUUGGUUGGUUUAGAUUUUAUAUUGUUAUUUUUUAUUUUUCUUUUACAUUGUGAUAUAGCCUUAUGAUUGUGUCACAAAUUCUAAAAGUUGGACAGGGAUGACUUCAAUUAUUUUUAGAAAUUUUCAUUCUUCAAUUCAAUUAUAUAUAUAUAUAAAAGGUUUGACGCUUAAUAUAUUUUUGUAUUGAUUUUAUCAUUUUAUAAUUUGAUUUAUAAUGCAGUCCUAUUAUAUAUGGACCAGGACAACAAUAUCAUUCAAAUGUUAGUAAUAGAAUAACUUUUACAUAUUUUAAUAUUUAAAAAUUAAAAAAAUACAGUGUAACUGUUUUGUAUAAAUUCUAAAAGUAAGGACUCAUUUGUGCUUGGUAAAAUACCUCACAAUAAAGUUAAUAAAUAAUAACACAAGAAAAGAACAAAAGUUAAUAAAUAAUAUAUAGCAUGUCUUACACUGCUUUAAUAGAUUAUUCCAGUAAGAGCACAGAGAGAAGAGCGGUUCAAGACAGAACAAUGAUGUAUAAAUUAAAAAAAUAUAAUCUCUUAUAGGAAUCUCUUUAUUAAAUAAUCAAAAUAUUAAAGUCUAUUUCCAAAGACUAUUACUACAGUUUUUAUAUAUAUAAAAAUAGAAACAACUAAAUAGAGAAAUUAUUAUUUUUUAAAUUGAAAAAGUUGAAAAGCUUGAUAAUAUUGAGUAAGAAAUAAAAUAUAAAAAUAAUUCCUUUUAAAUAAACAAAUAUAAAAGUUUAAUAGUACUGAAUAGAAAAAAAAAUAGAAUUUCUAAACUAAAUAAAAGUAACUGAAAAAAGUAUUUAUUAUUCCAAAAAAAUUGAUGUUAAAAUCUCAUUUAUCAUAUUUUAUAUCUAUAAAAAGCUAAUUUGUCAUAUGGAAUAAGUCUAUAUGCUAAAAUCAGAAAAAACAAAUGUAACAAAAAAAAAUUCCACCAAAGGCUGUGAUUAGCAGAUUAUCUGAUGGAAAGAUGAUGAACAUUUUUUAGUCAAUUAAGUUCAUUUCACAUGAUUUUUUUAUUCUUGUCAAUUAAUCUUAAAGCAAGAUUCCAAGAUAAGCCUAAAAAAUAUUUAUUAUUAAUCAACAAUAUGGAAUAAUAACUUGUUUUCUAAUAUAAAUUAUAAUUUGAAAUAAAAUUGAUAAAAGAGUAAGGCGCAUUUUGUAUACAAAAUUAAUGACGGAAUCGUAUAUUUUAAGACUAAAUUAAAGUUUUUCAAUUACAUUUAAACAUAUUAUGGUUUUAAUAAACGUACGAUGCAUCCUUUGAUUUUAUUACAGGGAACGUGAAAUAUUGUAAAUUAUGGAGGGGAAUCAAAAUAUUUGUUAGCAGUAACCUCAGUAAUGUUUAAAAAAAAUUGUUGUGGAAACUUUGCAAAGGAUCUGAAGGAAGAAAAAUGAUUGAAUUGAUAAUAAUUUGCAAGAGAGAAUUCUUUCACUGAAUAGAAAAAAAAAUAUUAUUUUUAAAAUAAAAACAAUAAAUAUAAAAAUUAUUAUUUUUUAAAUAGAGAAACUAGAAAGUCCUGAUAAUAUUAAAUAAAAAAUAAAUACAAAAAUUAUUCUUUUCAAGUAGAAAAAAUUAUAAAAGUUUAAUAAUACUGAAUAGAAAUAAAUAAAAUUUCUAAACUAAAUAAAAAUAUUUAUUAUCCCAAAAAUUCUUAUAUCAAAAUCUCAUUUAUCAUAUUUUGUAUCUAUAAAAAACUAAUUUGUCAUAUGUACUGGGUCCAUAUGCUAAAACCAGAAAAAAAAAUGUAACAAAAAAAAAAUUCCACACAAGGCUGUGAUUAAGAGAUUAACAAGAUGAUAGAUAUUUUUUAGUAAAAUGAAUUCCAAUUCAAAAUAGCAAAAUAAGGUUUUUUGAGGCUUUUCUAGUAUAUAAAAAAAUCAAAUUAUACAAGAUUUAUUAUUAAUCUUUGAUAUUUAUUAUUGAUCAUCAAUAAUCAAUAUUAAAUGAUGACUUAUUUUCUAGUAUAAACUAUGUUUGAAAUAAAAUUGAUAAAACACAUUAUAUAUAAUUAAUGAUGGGAUCGUAUAUAAAAAUAAUUAAAUUGAGAUUUUUCAAUUACCUUUAAAUAUAUCAUAGUUUUAAUCGGUGGUGGACGAUAUAACAUAUGUAAAUUAUAAAACAAGCAUUUAUUUUUCUGAUAUAUACAUAAUUGUCGCACCCGGACAUCGCGGCGACCUUAAAAAUAAUAUUUCAUGGAAAAGAACAGAUUUCUGGCAUCCUGUUCUUUAAUGGAGAAUGGUCUCGUUUAAGGAGUCGCCACCUAGUAUUAUGGUCACUAGGAACCCUAACUGGUCAACAGAGAUUCUAUGGUACGGGACUGGUUACGUAAAAGAGAAGAUAUUAUCACCCCUUAAACGUUCUGCCUGAGGCAGACUGCAUUGCUGGUUUUGUCUUAAAUUGCUAAAUGUUUAUUAGUUUACGCUAUGAUAAUUUGCUUAUAAUAUUCCUGACUCUGGCGUCAGUGAAUAUUCAACUACGAAUAUCUCCAACUCUGGCGUUGGUAAAUAUUACGUAGUUAUAAAAUAAAUUAGAUCAAUAUUUUUUUAUUACCUACUCUAGCAGUGAAUAAAUAAAUAAAAAUAAAUUUAUUUUUAAACAUGCACAUAUUUUUUUAUUUUUCUAGCUAAAUAAAAUAAAUAUAACGAAUAAAAAUAAUAUAAAUUUAAACCGGUAUUUUUAUUCCUGACUCUGGCAUCAGUGAAUAAACCAAUAAAUUUACAUUAUUUUUAUUUAUGCAUACACAUUUUUAUUUUUAUUUUUUUCUAAUAAUGAAUAAAAAUAAUAUAAAUUUAAACCGAUAUUUUUAUUCCUGACUCUGGAGUCAGUGAAUAAACCAAUAAAUUACAUUUUUUUUAUUUUUUUCCUAGGACUAUUUUUCCUACAUUUUUUUAUAUUUUUUUAUUUUUUUCCUAGGACUAAGCUUCACACGUGUAUGCAAAAGUAGUGAAUUAAAUUGGCCUAUGUACAGUACCCAUGCAAUUAGAAUUGCAAAGCAAAGGGAAAUGAAGAACUUACCUGUGCAGGAGGCGAAGUCGAAGACGGUGGCGAAGGUGUGCUGAAUUGCCAAAGCUACCUUCUCUCCUUCUCUGUUUUUAUUCUUCGUGCGCUUCUCCUCUGGUUUUGCUUUUCUUUACUUUGAUUGCUUCUCUUAUUCUUCCUGUCUCCCCCCCUGUGUUUGCUUGUUCUCAGUUCGCUUGUGUUUUCUUUUUUUAUCUGUUGUUCAGGGAAUGGAGGAGCUGGUGUAAGUGGAGACAAAGCAGCUGAUGCCUGAGAGGGCGUUGUACUGCUGCUGGAGCUGGAAGAGGCGCGCGUUGCUGGUUGCUGAUGCAUGCUCACGGUGCAUGGAAGUGGCUGAGUUGCUACUAAUCUUGACGAUACUGGUUUCGUCCGCUGUAAAAGUUUUCGUGCCCCUGCAUCCGAUCAAAGCUUGUGCUUUUCCAAGCAAAAGCCAUGGUCCCUUGAAACUCAGCAGAUUUUCGGAGCAAGGAGGAUCGCAUGCCAAUGUAGUUCAUGGUUCUGGUUUAGAGGCAGACGUGGCGGAGAUUAAUGGUGAUUGGGACCACAGCCUAGAAGGUGACCGGGAGGAAGAUGAUCUCGAGCCUUUAUUUGCUUCUUCUUUUUUUGUGAGGAGUUUGCAGAUCCCGGGGGUUGAGAAUGAAGAAUGAAAAAUCAGUUUGAUGGGGAAGAGAUUGAGGCCAGGCAAGAAGGGAGGAAAAGUCUGGGGGGAGGGGGCAGCGGCGGCUAGUCUAGGACUCGGCCGCGCCCCUUUUUUUUUUUGUAAAUGUCUUUUGUUUCUUUUUUUUUAUAUAGGUUUCUGGUAAUGAUCUUCUCCUGGGUUUUUUUUUUGUGUCGUUUAAGGUUCCUCUCUAAUCGUCUUCCUCUCCCCUCCGUUUUUCAUACCCUGAGAUCUGUAUUUAUAGUGCCAGAGUCCCUUCGCUUGUGAGAAACCAAGUUUCAAUCAAACUCAUUCUAUUUUUUGAAGUUUGAAUUUGAUUAAGAAUCAAAUUUGAAAGCGGAUAACUAUCAUUAUCUUAAAGACAAGGAUUAUCUCGAAGAUAAAGAUUAUCUUGAAGAUAGGGAUUAUCUUGAAGAUAAAGAUAGAAUGAUAAAAGCACAUUGUAGUCCUUAAUUUUCACGGAAGUUGACAAAUCACACUUUUCAUCGAAAUAAAUCUCUGAUCUUUUAAUUUUUCAUUUUAAACCCUGUAAAAAUUAAAUUAAAAGUCAAAGGGCCAAAAUUGGGUCAUGACAGUUGCCCCCUCUUUACAAUGCUUACGGUGCAAAUGCAUUAGAAAAUUUAUUUUCUUUUGACUUUGUAUAGUAAGUUUUGUAAAGAAAAAUAAUUGUGAAAGCCCUUCCUCUUUUCCUCCUUUUUUUUUUCUUCUCUUUUUUUUGAUUGAUUUUUUUGCUUUUUUUUUUUAAAUGGUCUAAUUGUUCCAGGCGACCUGCCUGAUAAAGAAUAAAAUGCGAAAAGGGUUUCGCGAGUGGUCUAAUUGUUCCAGGCGACCUGCCCGAUGAUUGAAAAAUACGAGGAUUUUUUUUUGUGAUGGUAUAUUGUAAUGGGUUACCGGCCCAGAUGGUCACAUUGUAAUGGGUUACCUGCCCAGUAUAGGAUGGUAUAUUGUAAUGGGUUACCGGCCCAAAUGGUCACAUUGUAAUUGGUUACCUGCCUAGUAUAGGAUGGUAUAUUGUAAUGGGUUACCAACUCAGAUGGUCACAUUGUAAUGGGUUACCUGCCCAGUAUAGGAUGGUAUAUUGUAAUGGGUUACCGACCCAAGUGGUCACAUUGUAAUGGGUUACCUGCCUAGUAUAGGAUGGUAUAUUGUAAUGGGUUACCGACCCAGAUGGUCACAUUGUAAUGGGUUACCUGCCCAGUUGGUCACAUUGUAAUGGGUUACCUGCCCAGUGGAUGGUAUAUUGUAAUGGGUUACCGACCCAGAUGGUCACAUUGUAAUGGGUUACCUGCCCAGUGGAUGGUAUAUUGUAAUGGGUUACCGACCCAGAUGGUCACAUUGUAAUGGGUUACCGGCCUAGUUGGUCACAUUGUAAUGGGUUACCUGCCCAGUGGAAAAAUACGAGGAUUUUUCAGAUGGUCACAUUGUAAUGGGUUACCUGCCCAGAUGGUCACAUUGUAAUGGGUUACCGGCCCAGUUGGUCACAUUGUAAUGGGUUACCUGCUUAGUGGAAAAAUACGAGGAUUUUUUUUUAAGACAUGAUAGGGCUCGAAGGCGCAUUAUUCAAUAGAUGGAAGCUCGAGGGAAAUGAGGGCUUGAAGGCGCCCUCAAAAGAAGGUAGGAUAGGAAAUGCACUACCUUUGAUGGUCGAGGGCUCGAAGGAGCGCUCGAAUGGAGGUAGGAUAGGAAAUGCACUACCUUUGAUGGUCGAGGGCUCGAAGGCGUGCUCGAAAAGAAAUAAGAUGAGGGCUCGAAGACGCGCUCGAAAGGAGGUAGGAUAGGAAAUGCACUACCUCAGGAGUGGAAACUGAAAGGUGGUGGGAAAAUAGAGAGAUUUUUUCAGGUGGCCUAAUUCUCAUGGGCGGCUUGCCCAGGUUGAAAAAUUCUCAAAAGUGAAAAUUUUUUCAAAAGCAAUUUCAAUGUUCGCCAUUUCAAGUUGGCCUUCCGCUUGAUGGAUUCCGUCAGAAUUUUUUUCUAAUAAAAUUUGCAAAACUCAUUGUCCAAUGUCUCAAAGUUUAAAUGAUAUGCAUGCAUCUUUACCUGAUUUGAAAUAUAGGCCCCCCAUUUCUUCUUAGUCUUCUCGUGGCUUGGUUGGUGAGAUCUUGCUAUCUGAUUUGAGUCAUCUUUGUCGUUUGGCUUUCUAGCCCACUCGAGUUAGCCCAUAUAAGACUUUUUCCAGAUUUGUUUGCACAACUCAGCCUUUGUGGUGCCCAUCGUGACCCACUUGCUUGCUAGAGAUUUUCUGUCUCGUCAAAUAGUUUGAGGGGAUCAUUCAUUACUCCUCGUCUCACUGAUAAAAAUAUUUGGUGUCACUUGCUGAAAGGAUCAAACUGUCUUUCGUAAACCAAAAUGCCCCCUUGUCUUGUUGUAGGAAAUGUUCCUUCUUUUUUUUUAGAACAGAUAGAUUUUUCUUAAGCACAAUAUUGCCCCCUUGUACUAGUCAUUGCCCCCAAGUGUGCCCUGUCAGCGACUUAGACAAAUAAUGGUUUUAAGAGACCAUUCUCUCAUUUCUCUCCUUUUCAGUUUGGUGAAGGAAUAUGGGUUUAGAAUGAAUCUUGAAAUCUUGAUCUUGCAUUUUGAAAACAAAAAAUUAUUUCGAUGUGAGUCUAAAACAAUUUGCUUUUGAAAUCUUGCAACUCCUUGGUUAUUUUCUUUCUUGGAAAAGAGAUUAUUUGCUCUUGUGUUUGGCAAUGAGAUCUUUGAUGAAAAUACGUCAUGAGAUGACCUUUUGUUUUUAUAGGUUUUUAAAGUGGAGGGCUCGAGAAAGAGCUCGAGGUUUUGUAUGAGAAAAACUUGUCUCUUUUUUUAACAUUUAUUUUUAUCAGCAUCAAUAAUAAUGAGUAGCUUAUUCUUGAUGUCAUGAAUCUUAUGAAAAAGUAUUCUUUGCAUUUUGAGAGCAUUGUUUAUUGUUCUAGGUUGCUUGCUUGCUUGAUUAGAAAGGACUUCUACAGGCACAUAACGUAGGCUGUGGUUUUUGGCUAUGAAAGAAAAGGAUUCAUAAGGCUCAAAGAGUGUUUCAGGGUUUCAAAGAAUGAAGAUCACAAUCAACAGUUUGACUCUUGACGUCAUUCAUAUUUUCUUUUGCCGCUCUUCUUUGAUUUGCCUUUUUUUCUUUUUUCUUUUUCAUUGCUUUGCUAGAGCAUACUCACUUUAUCUUGGUUAUCACUUUUUCUUGUGAUUUGGGCAUGCCCCCUAGCAUUUGAGUUUCUUGGGCUCUUUUGCCUUUUGACUUUCUCACGGCUUUAUUAUCUUUCUUGAUCAUUGAAAUUUCACUUGCCCCCAGUGUGGGGUGUGAUCCUAGUCGGGAUUUUUUCAUGAAAGAAAAAUUAUUCAGGCUCAAAAAGGGAUCGCAAGGGAUGUACUUAUUUCAGAAUAUGAAAGGAAUAACAAAGAUGGCAUUUCCUCAUUUCAAGCGCAAGCAGUUAAGAUCAAUAAACUUUGACCUCAUCUAGUGUGAUAGUUUGGUCUUUGCAAAGAUGCAUUUCAAGGGUCAUGAGCAACAAGUUCACUACAUACCAUUAUUCAUACAUUUAAAAACACAUGAUUCAAGAGUCGUGGGGUAAGGGUGUUUAUUUAUUUCUUUUCUCUUUUUUCUUUUUUUCUUUUUGGUUUAUAAUUUAGUCACCUCAUUGAUGGAGUUACUUGAUUAACACGUAGAAUGUUAAAAAUAUGGUUUUUGAAUAAACAUCAAGUUAUUUUCGGAAUCAAAAUGCAAGAUCAAUUUUUUCAAAACUCUAAUAGGGAAACUGAUUUUUGGUAACAGAGACAAAUUGCGUCUAUGAGAUCGCACAAGGCUUCAAAGAUGUGUUUGUGAGUCUUUAUAAGAAAACUCUCUCAGAAAAAUGAAUAAUGCUAAUCGUACACACGAUUGAAUGACAAACUCAUUAUUUUCAUUGAAACUUUGGAAAAUAAGUUCAACAAGAAAGAACUCAUGACAACAUCUUGGGCUAUGAAUACUGGCAUGAUAGCAUAUAAAGGGGCUAAACAUUUAACAAUCAUUGAUUGGAAUUUCUGGAAUCAUUCAUUCUCCUUGACAAGGGCAUCUCUUCAAUAGUCAAUAAUAUCACCAUAGCUUUAUCUUCAAGAUAGUUGAUUUCUAAAAAUUGGUGUGAAGCAAUUAGCUAUAGGAACGAUAACUGUCUUGGCAGCCACCUUCAGUGAAACCGUUCUUCUUAGUUAGGUUAGCAAUCUUACAUAACCCAAUGGCUUGUUCAAUCCUCUCAGCUAUAACAACCAGGUCAGUGAAAUGUUGCGCAGAGCUUCUAACCAAGUAUUCAAAGUAUGAAGCUUUAAAGUUGUUGGAAAAUAAACUGAUCAUCUCUUUUUCCAACAUAGAAGGGUUAACCUGUGCAGCUACCUCCCUCCAUCUUCGAGCGUAUUUCCUUAUGGACUCCUUAUUGUCCUUCUCCAUAGCUUGCAAGUUUAAACGAUCAGAGUCCACGUCUAUAUUGAACUUAUAUUGUCUCAUGAAGGCAUCAACUAAAUCCUUCCAUUUUUUAACCUUGGUAUUUUCCAACCGCAUAUACCAAGUGAGGGCAACGUCACUCAAAUUGUCUUGAAAGAAGUGAAUUAACAGUUUCUCGUCAUAGACUACCUCAACCAUUUUGUUGCAGUAUGUCUUGAGAUGAGUUACAGGGCAUUGAGUUCCUGUAUAUUUGAUGAAUUCUGGCACUCUAAACUUCUUAGGAAUGACUACGUUAGGUACCAAACACAUCUCAACAGCUUUUAUAUGGUCAUGUAGGCUAGUUCCCUCGAAUGCCCUCAGUCUUUGUUCCAAGGCAGCCCUUUUAUCCAGGCCAUCUUCUUUUACCACCUUGUUCUUUUGAGAUUCCUUUAUUGUAAGGUCAAUGGUAGAUGACAUUCCUAUGGGAUAUGCUGGUUGAGCAAAUUGGGAAUACAUAGACUGUUGAGACACCUCAUUUGCCCCCAGAUUCUGUGGAUUUACGAGCAUAGGUUCAGGCUGAGCUGUAGAUUUUGCUUCUUCAUGUUUAGAUCUCAAGGCUUGUUCGAGUAAGCUAGUAAGCCUGGCAACUUUCCAUCUCUUUUCGGUGUGGGGCUUCCAACUGGGCUCUUUCUUGUAAAAAAUUCCACACAAGGCUGUGAUUAAGAGAUUAACAAGAUGAUAGAUAUUUUUUUAGUAAAAUGAAUUCCAAUUCAAAAUAGCAAAAUAAGGUUUGUUGAGGCUUUUCUAGUAUAUAAAAAAAUCAAAUUAUACAAGAUUUAUUAUUAAUCUUCGAUAUUUAUUAUUGAUCAUCAAUAAUCAAUAUUAAAUGAUGACUUAUUUUCUAGUAUAAACUAUGUUUGAAAUAAAAUUGAUAAAACACAUUAUAUAUAAUUAAUGAUGGGAUCGUAUAUAAAAAUAAUUAAAUUGAGAUUUUUCAAUUACCUUUAAAUAUAUCAUAGUUUUAAUCGGUGGUGGACGAUAUAACAUAUGUAAAUUAUAAAACAAGCAUUUAUUUUUCUGAUAUAUACAUAAUAAUAACAAAUUAAAUGAUAGUAACAAGAAAAUAGCAAUUAGUUUGAAUAAAUGGUACCAGUUCCUAUCAUUAUAUAUUUAGGAAAAGGUUCAAAGAAUAGAAUAAAGUCAAAUAUAUAUUUUUAAUAAAAAAGAAAAAAAAACACAGAAAGAAAUAAAAAUAUGUUUGUAAUAAAUAUAAAAGAUGGAUAAAAAUAUUAGAGAAUAAGAAAGAGAUAUAGAAUCUCUUUGUGAAAUUUCUAAAAACUUAAUUACAAUUAUAUUAUAAUUUCUUCCCUAAAAUUAUUCAAAAUAUAGUAUUAGAAUUAUAUAAUGCUAGGUUUUAAUAGUUAAUUAAAGAAUCUUUCCUGAAUCAAAUAAUAAAAAUAUUGUAUAACGAUCUUUUGGAUGAAUUGUUAAUGUAGCUCUUUGACUGUUUGGGGUCCUGACAUAGCUGAUUUUAUUUGAAUAUAUUAUUUGAUAUCUCAUUGCUGCAUUGACUGGAAAUUUCAGUAUUCCAUAUCCUAUAUAUUUAACUCGUUAUAUUUAGUAGCUAACUCUGCAGCUAACUUCUCUGUCCCAUUGCAGCAAUUUCAUAGCUAACUCUUUGUUAUAUUUAACUUACUCUUCUUUGCUUCUUUGCUUCUUGCUCAUAACGAUAACUUGAAAGCCUUACGUUCAGAUAGAUAAUCAUUGACCAGUUCAUUGACCAGUUCUUUGUUAAUUUAGAAAUGCUGAAACAAAAACGCAAGCAAUCCAAAGAUGAAGACAACGAUUCAUCCUCGCGAAAGAGAAGAAAAGCUGACCUCAGUAAGCCUGUCAGUUUUGUCUCCACAGGUAAGGCAUAUGCGUGAGUCUAUACAUGUAGGAACUGCUGAUUCGAUUUGAAUAUGUUAUUUGAUUAGUCUGAUCAUAGGAUAGGUUGAGUCUACUACUAUUUCUGCCUUGCUUUGACUCGAAAUUCCUGGUGUUUUCACCUGCAAAUGAAUAGAAAUCACAUCCUUUCUCUUUCUCCUAUACAAAGAAUACAGUUAACCUCAUUUCAAUAUCAUAGAUUUGGAAUUUCAUAGCUAACUCUUUGUUAUAUUGCUCCAUUGGUAAUUGAUUGUGCCUUAAUUUCUGCAGCUACCAUGACAGAGCCAGGGUCUUCUCGAUCUAGUCCAGAAGGGGCCUAUGAUGUCUUCUUGAGUUUUAGAGGAGAAGACACUCGCAAGACAUUUACAGAUCAUCUAUAUGCUGCCUUAGAUCAAGCAGGAAUCCGCGCUUUUCGAGAUGAUGAUGAACUUCCGAGAGGAGAAGAAAUCUCCGAUCAUCUCCUCAGGGCAAUUCAAGAAUCAAAGAUAUCCAUAGUUGUCUUCUCAAAAGGAUAUGCUUCUUCUAGAUGGUGUCUCAAUGAACUUGUAGAGAUUCUUGAGUGCAAAAAGAGGAAAACCGGUCAGAUUGUUCUUCCUAUAUUCUAUGACAUUGAUCCUUCAGAUGUGAGAAAACAGAACGGCAGUUUUGCAGAAGCAUUUGUUAAACAUGAAGAGCGUUUUGAAGAGAAGUUGGUGAAGGAGUGGAGAAAAGCUCUUGAGGAGGCUGGAAAUCUAUCUGGAUGGAAUCUCAAUGAUAUGGCAAAUGGGUAUGCCUUUUUUCCAAAUUUAUGGAGUCAAUAUACUUUAUAUUUUUCAAUGUGAAACAAUAAAAUACUUAAUUGACUGGCUAUCAAUGACUGGCUUUUGUCUAUGAGCAGGCAUGAAGCAAAAUUUAUCAAAGAGAUUAUCAAGGAUGUGUUGAAUAAAUUAGAUCCCAAGUACUUAGAUGUUCCUGAGCUCCUAGUAGGUAUGGAUCGGCUUUCUCGCAAUAUUUUUGACUUUCUAAGUACUGCAACACAUGAUGUACGCAUUGUGGGCAUACAUGGGAUGCCAGGAAUAGGAAAGACAACUAUAGCAAAAGUUGUAUUUAAUCAACUCCGCUAUAGAUUCGAGGGAAGCUGCUUUUUUUCGAAUAUCAAUGAAACAUCAAAACAAUUCAAUGGUCUGGCUCUUUUACAAGAGCAACUUCUUCAUGAUAUUUUAAAACAAGAUGUUGCUAACAUCAAUUGUGUCGAUAGAGGAAAGGUUCUGAUCAAAGAACGACUUCGUCGCAAAAGAGUUCUUGUUGUUGCUGAUGAUGUGACUCGUCAGGACCAGCUAAAUGCUUUGAUGGGAGAGCGAGGUUGGUUUGGUCCCGGAAGUAGAGUAAUUAUUACAACAAGAGAUUCAAGUUUUCUACAUAAAGCGGAUCAAACAUAUCAAAUCGAAGAAUUGAAACCAGAUGAGUCCUUUCAACUUUUCAGCUGGCAUGCCUUGCGGGACACCAAGCCAGCAGAAGAUUAUAUUGAGCUUUCGAAGGAUGUAGUUGAUUACUGUGGAGGAAUUCCUUUGGCUCUUGAGGUUAUGGGUGCUUGUCUGUCCGGGAAAAACAGAGAUGGUUGGAAAUCUGUAAUUGACAAAUUGAGAAGAAUUCCAAACCGCGAUAUCCAAGGAAAGCUUAGAAUAAGUUUUGACGCACUGGACGGUGAAGAACUACAAAAUGCAUUCCUUGACAUCGCUUGCUUCUUUAUUGAUAGAAAGAAAGAGUACGUCGCAAAAGUGCUAGGAGCCCGUUGCGGUUACAAUCCAGAAGUUGAUUUGCAAACUCUCCAUGAGAGGUCUCUGAUUAAAGUAUUGGGAGAGACGGUAACCAUGCAUGAUCUAUUACGAGACAUGGGAAGGGAGGUCGUUCGUGAAAAGUCUCCAAAACAACCUGGAGAGAGGACCAGAAUUUGGAAUCAAGAGGAUGCAUGGAAUGUACUUGAGCAGCAGAAGGUAAGAGCUCAAUGCAUACAUGAAAGCAUAGUCAUGCGUAUUUUCUAGUCAAACUUAUUACAAGUAAUUGUAUGAAAGUUGUAUUGAUUUAUUUUUUAGGGUACGGAUGUCGUAGAGGGUCUUGCACUGGAUGUCAGAGCAUCAGAAGCUAAAUCACUUAGCGCAGGAUCAUUUGCAGAAAUGAAAUGCUUAAAUUUACUCCAAAUCAAUGGAGUUCAUCUCACCGGAUCCUUCAAACUGCUUUCUAAAGAGUUGAUGUGGAUUUGUUGGCUUCAAUGUCCUUUGAAAUAUUUUCCAUCUGAUUUUACCUUGGAUAAUUUAGCUGUUCUUGAUAUGCAGUACAGUAACCUCAAAGAACUAUGGAAGGGAAAAAAG
RNAcentral lists this long non-coding RNA (23787 nucleotides) under Populus trichocarpa (black cottonwood). Its description in RNAcentral is "long non-coding RNA (PTRI_LNC004299)". The record is from RNAcentral. Lineage: Eukaryota; Viridiplantae; Streptophyta; Magnoliopsida; Malpighiales; Salicaceae.